GUGUCAGCCGCCGCGGUAAUACGUAGGUGGCAAGCGUUGUCCGGAAUUAUUGGGCGUAAAGCGCGCGCAGGUGGUUUCUCAAGUCUGGUGUGAAAGGCGAGGGCUCAACCCUCGUUGGGCAUCGGAAACUGGGUAUCUUGAGGACAGGAGAGGAAAGUGGAAUUCCACGUGUAGCGGUGAAAUGCGUAGAGAUGUGGAGGAACACCAGUGGCGAAGGCGACUUUCUGGACUGUAACUGACGCUGAGGCGCGAAAGCGUGGGGAGCAAACAGGAUUAGAUCCCCUGGUA
RNAcentral lists this ribosomal RNA (288 nucleotides) under uncultured bacterium. RNAcentral's name for it is "partial 16S rRNA". It matches the Rfam family "Bacterial small subunit ribosomal RNA", at positions 505 to 792 of the family's 1533-position model. The record is from RNAcentral.